Molecule: transfer RNA, 62 nt
Filed under: Melibe leonina
Lineage: Eukaryota; Metazoa; Mollusca; Gastropoda; Nudibranchia; Dendronotidae
Description: tRNA-Gln
Source: RNAcentral
UCUAUUUCGGUGUAAGGCACGGGAGAAUUUGAGUCUCUUGGAGGGAUACUUCCCAAACAGAA